UACAGAGGGGGCGAGCGUUAAUCGGAAUUACUGGGCGUAAAGCGCGCGUAGGCGGCUUUGCAAGUCGGGUGUGAAAUCCCCAGGCUUAACCUGGGAACUGCAUUCGAGACUGCGUUGCUAGAGUAUGGGAGAGGGAAGUGGAAUUUCCGGUGUAGCGGUGAAAUGCGUAGAUAUCGGAAGGAACAUCAGUGGCGAAAGCGACUUCCUGGACCAAUACUGACGCUCAUGUGCGAAAGCGUGGGGAGCAAACAGG
RNAcentral lists this ribosomal RNA (253 nucleotides) under uncultured bacterium. RNAcentral describes it as "partial 16S ribosomal RNA". It matches the Rfam family "Bacterial small subunit ribosomal RNA", at positions 524 to 776 of the family's 1533-position model. The record is from RNAcentral.